UGAUUCAUGACUGGGGUGAAGUCGUAACAAGGUAACCCUAGGGGAACCUGGGGUUGGAUCACCUCCUUA
This 69-nucleotide ribosomal RNA is filed under the name Aeromonas dhakensis. RNAcentral describes it as "partial 16S ribosomal RNA". It matches the Rfam family "Bacterial small subunit ribosomal RNA", at positions 1465 to 1533 of the family's 1533-position model. RNAcentral also lists the same sequence under 2 other names. Lineage: Bacteria; Pseudomonadati; Pseudomonadota; Gammaproteobacteria; Aeromonadales; Aeromonadaceae. The record is from RNAcentral.